Molecule: ribosomal RNA, 2210 nt
Filed under: Bacillus cereus
Lineage: Bacteria; Bacillati; Bacillota; Bacilli; Caryophanales; Bacillaceae
Description: partial 23S ribosomal RNA
Rfam family: Bacterial large subunit ribosomal RNA
Source: RNAcentral
UUUGGUUAAGUUAGAAAGGGCGCACGGUGGAUGCCUUGACACUAGGAGUCGAUGAAGGACGGGACUAACGCCGAUAUGCUUCGGGGAGCUGUAAGUAAGCUUUGAUCCGAAGAUUUCCGAAUGGGGAAACCCACUAUACGUAAUGGUAUGGUAUCCUUACCUGAAUACAUAGGGUAUGGAAGACAGACCCAGGGAACUGAAACAUCUAAGUACCUGGAGGAAGAGAAAGCAAAUGCGAUUUCCUGAGUAGCGGCGAGCGAAACGGAACAUAGCCCAAACCAAGAGGCUUGCCUCUUGGGGUUGUAGGACAUUCUAUACGGAGUUACAAAGGAACGAGGUAGACGAAGCGACCUGGAAAGGUCCGUCGUAGAGGGUAACAACCCCGUAGUCGAAACUUCGUUCUCUCUUGAAUGUAUCCUGAGUACGGCGGAACACGUGAAAUUCCGUCGGAAUCUGGGAGGACCAUCUCCCAAGGCUAAAUACUCCCUAGUGAUCGAUAGUGAACCAGUACCGUGAGGGAAAGGUGAAAAGCACCCCGGAAGGGGAGUGAAAGAGAUCCUGAAACCGUGUGCCUACAAAUAGUCAGAGCCCGUUAAUGGGUGAUGGCGUGCCUUUUGUAGAAUGAACCGGCGAGUUACGAUCCCGUGCGAGGUUAAGCUGAAGAGGCGGAGCCGCAGCGAAAGCGAGUCUGAAUAGGGCGUUUAGUACGUGGUCGUAGACCCGAAACCAGGUGAUCUACCCAUGUCCAGGGUGAAGUUCAGGUAACACUGAAUGGAGGCCCGAACCCACGCACGUUGAAAAGUGCGGGGAUGAGGUGUGGGUAGCGGAGAAAUUCCAAUCGAACCUGGAGAUAGCUGGUUCUCCCCGAAAUAGCUUUAGGGCUAGCCUUAAGUGUAAGAGUCUUGGAGGUAGAGCACUGAUUGAACUAGGGGUCCUCAUCGGAUUACCGAAUUCAGUCAAACUCCGAAUGCCAAUGACUUAUCCUUAGGAGUCAGACUGCGAGUGAUAAGAUCCGUAGUCAAGAGGGAAACAGCCCAGAUCGCCAGCUAAGGUCCCAAAGUGUGUAUUAAGUGGAAAAGGAUGUGGAGUUGCUUAGACAACUAGGAUGUUGGCUUAGAAGCAGCCACCAUUUAAAGAGUGCGUAAUAGCUCACUAGUCGAGUGACUCUGCGCCGAAAAUGUACCGGGGCUAAAUACACCACCGAAGCUGCGAAUUGAUACCAAUGGUAUCAGUGGUAGGGGAGCGUUCUAAGUGCAGUGAAGUCAGACCGGAAGGACUGGUGGAGCGCUUAGAAGUGAGAAUGCCGGUAUGAGUAGCGAAAGACGGGUGAGAAUCCCGUCCACCGAAUGCCUAAGGUUUCCUGAGGAAGGCUCGUCCGCUCAGGGUUAGUCAGGACCUAAGCCGAGGCCGACAGGCGUAGGCGAUGGACAACAGGUUGAUAUUCCUGUACCACCUCUUUAUCGUUUGAGCAAUGGAGGGACGCAGAAGGAUAGAAGAAGCGUGCGAUUGGUUGUGCACGUCCAAGCAGUUAGGCUGAUAAGUAGGCAAAUCCGCUUAUCGUGAAGGCUGAGCUGUGAUGGGGAAGCUCCUUAUGGAGCGAAGUCUUUGAUUCCCCGCUGCCAAGAAAAGCUUCUAGCGAGAUAAAAGGUGCCUGUACCGCAAACCGACACAGGUAGGCGAGGAGAGAAUCCUAAGGUGUGCGAGAGAACUCUGGUUAAGGAACUCGGCAAAAUGACCCCGUAACUUCGGGAGAAGGGGUGCUUUCUUAACGGAAAGCCGCAGUGAAUAGGCCCAAGCGACUGUUUAGCAAAAACACAGCUCUCUGCGAAGCCGUAAGGCGAAGUAUAGGGGGUGACACCUGCCCGGUGCUGGAAGGUUAAGGAGAGGGGUUAGCGUAAGCGAAGCUCUGAACUGAAGCCCCAGUAAACGGCGGCCGUAACUAUAACGGUCCUAAGGUAGCGAAAUUCCUUGUCGGGUAAGUUCCGACCCGCACGAAAGGUGUAACGAUUUGGGCACUGUCUCAACCAGAGACUCGGUGAAAUUAUAGUACCUGUGAAGAUGCAGGUUACCCGCGACAGGACGGAAAGACCCCGUGGAGCUUUACUGUAGCCUGAUAUUGAAUUUUGGUACAGUUUGUACAGGAUAGGCGGGAGCCAUUGAAACCGGAGCGCUAGCUUCGGUGGAGGCGCUGGUGGGAUACCGCCCUGACU